RNAcentral lists this transfer RNA (71 nucleotides) under Rondeletiola minor. RNAcentral's name for it is "tRNA-Met". Lineage: Eukaryota; Metazoa; Mollusca; Cephalopoda; Sepiida; Sepiolidae. The record is from RNAcentral.
UAAUAAAGGAAUAACCACACAUUCAUUUUUGGGGUAUGAACCCAACAGCUUAAACUUUAGCUUACUUUAUU